GAGUUUGAUCCUGGCUCAGAUUGAACGCUGGCGGCAUGCCUUACACAUGCAAGUCGAACGGCAGCACGGGAGCUUGCUCCUGGUGGCGAGUGGCGAACGGGUGAGUAAUGCAUCGGAACGUAUCCUGGAGUGGGGGAUAACGUAGCGAAAGUUACGCUAAUACCGCAUAUUCUGUGAGCAGGAAAGCGGGGGACCUUCGGGCCUCGCGCUCUUGGAGCGGCCGAUGUCGGAUUAGCUAGUUGGUGAGGUAAAGGCUCACCAAGGCGACGAUCCGUAGCAGGUCUGAGAGGAUGAUCUGCCACACUGGAACUGAGACACGGUCCAGACUCCGUACGGGAGC
RNAcentral lists this ribosomal RNA (340 nucleotides) under bacterium enrichment culture clone ALO1_GLFRUDD03G1OGB. Its description in RNAcentral is "bacterial SSU rRNA". It matches the Rfam family "Bacterial small subunit ribosomal RNA", at positions 9 to 348 of the family's 1533-position model. The record is from RNAcentral.